Molecule: ribosomal RNA, 508 nt
Filed under: uncultured bacterium
Lineage: Bacteria
Description: partial 16S ribosomal RNA
Source: RNAcentral
GGAGUUAGCCGGUGCUUCUUCUGUGAGUGAUGUCCUUCCUGCCGGUUAUUGACCCGCAGGCCUUCUUCCUCACUGAAAGUGCUUUACAACCCGAAGGCCUUCUUCACACACGCGGCAUGGCUGGAUCAGGGUUGCCCCCAUUGUCCAAUAUUCCCCACUGCUGCCUCCCGUAGGAGUCUGGGCCGUGUCUCAGUCCCAGUGUGGCUGAUCAUCCUCUCAGACCAGCUACGGAUCGUCGCCUUGGUGAGCCGUUACCUCACCAACCAGCUAAUCCGACAUAGGCUCAUCCGAUAGCGCGAGGCCCGAAGGUCCCCCGCUUUCCCCCGUAGGGCGUAUGCGGUAUUAGCCUGGGUUUCCCCAGGUUAUCCCCCGACUACCGGGCAGAUUCCUAUGCAUUACUCACCCGUCCGCCGCUCGCCACCAGGGAGCAAGCUCCCCGUGCUGCCGCUCGACUUGCAUGUGUUAGGCCUGCCGCCAGCGUUCAAUCUGAGCCAGAAUCAAACUCUGA